CGACGACGUUCAGUGUGACGCGGCGCGAUUGAGAAUCCAAUUCCCUGUACUUUCGAUCAGGACACGAUGAGGCGUCGCCGUGCCGAUAAAUCACCCCGCCAAUAGCACAGAAACGUCGAAAUAAAAUACGAGAAGCCCGGCAAAACUGAUGCACAUUGUUCGACUUCGGAGCGCCGGAUCGAUUGACAAUGCGCGCGUGAGCGUUGUAACGCGCGAAAUUCUUGUUCCAGUAUCGUUCACGCGAGCAAAAGAACUAUUUGUGGGGGUGCUUUUAGCUGCAAGUGCAUUGUUUCAACUGCCAAUAUUCCUAUUGAACGAAAACCGAUACACCAGUAAUAAUUUUGAAAGGGCUAAGCGGUGAUGAAUAAGUUUUAGAAUUCUUUUAAACUAAAUGUUAAUUAUAUUUUCCCGAUUAUUAAUGCUAGAAACACAUUUUUUCGAAUGUUUCUGCAGAGA
This 456-nucleotide unclassified non-coding RNA is filed under the name Bombus terrestris (buff-tailed bumblebee). RNAcentral's name for it is "misc RNA ENSBTSG00005034007.1". Lineage: Eukaryota; Metazoa; Arthropoda; Insecta; Hymenoptera; Apidae. The record is from RNAcentral.